UACUUAGUGGCAGACGGGUGAGUAACAUGUAGGUAUCUUCCCUUUGGUGAGGAAUAACACGAGGAAGCUUGUGCUAAUACCUCAUAAGUCUUUACGGAGAAAGCUUUAUGCGCCAUUGGAUGAGCCUGCACUUGAUUAGUUUGUUGGUGGGGUAAUGGCCUACCAAGACAGUGAUCAAUAGCUGAUCUGAGAGGAUGAUCAGCCACAUUGGGACUGAGACACGGCCCAAACUCCUACGGGAGGCAGCAGUAGGGAAUAUUGCACAAUGGAGGAAACUCUGAUGCAGCGAUGCCGCGUGAGUGAAGAAGGCCUUUGGGUUGUAAAGCUCUUUCGUCGGGGAAGAAAAUGACUGUACCCGAAUAAGAAGGUCCGGCUAACUUCGUGCCAGCAGCCGCGGUAAUACGAAGGGACCUAGCGUAGUUCGGAAUUACUGGGCUUAAAGAGUUCGUAGGUUGUUAAAAAAGUUGGUGGUGAAAUCCCAGAGCCCAACUCUGGAACUGCCAUCAAAACUUUUUAGCUAGAGUAUGAUAGAGGAAAGCAGAAUUUCUAGUGUA
RNAcentral lists this ribosomal RNA (554 nucleotides) under uncultured marine bacterium. RNAcentral describes it as "bacterial SSU rRNA". It matches the Rfam family "Bacterial small subunit ribosomal RNA", at positions 89 to 677 of the family's 1533-position model. The record is from RNAcentral.